This 227-nucleotide unclassified non-coding RNA is filed under the name Hevea brasiliensis (rubber tree). Lineage: Eukaryota; Viridiplantae; Streptophyta; Magnoliopsida; Malpighiales; Euphorbiaceae. The record is from RNAcentral.
GCUUUAUAAUAAUUGAUGCUAAACCUUUUCUUAUAUUCCACUUCAGACUGAUAAUCUUUUGGCCUCAUAUUAUGACUCUUAAGCUCCUGUUCUUGUUUUCUUCUACCUUUCAUGUUUCUCACUUCAUCUCAUCUGUUUGGGAUUGAAAGAUCUAGUACUUAUGUCUCUGAUGCUUUUUCUAAUUUUAUUUUUAUUUUUUGUUGCAGAUUGCAUGUAGAGACUAUCCU